CCGACGCGGACAUCGCGUACCCAACGCGUGUCCCCAACAAGCCGUGUCGUUUCGUAUCGUUUUAAACACGACCGUCGGACUACAAGAACUGCAAGUGUAUGUAGUCCAAUGAACACCGACACGUUCCUCAUUGACGGCGCGAAAUAAUUCGUGCCCGUCGUUCGGCCAACAACCAACGUUAUCAAUCGCUCAUCAUAACUAUUAUUAUCGCACAUUUUUCUCAAACUUCGGCAUCAUUACAUUAUUUAUGAAUGUUUAUUAUUGUUUUGCCGUCGAUAUUUCACCGUGUCUACACUUUCUUCAGGGUUUUUUUUUUUCUAUUGUUCACAUACCUACUAUUUUUUUCUGUCAAAAUAGGCAUUGAAUAUAUAUUACCUAGACAGAAUCCAUUUUAUUAAUAUAGUUCACUUGUAUUAUACGAUUAACUGAUAAUAACAAUACCAAAACACACACACACACACACAUCAUUUUGCUCAAUUUUAAUUACUAAUAUAUUGCUGUUUUUAACAGUUACGUUCCACUGGUAGGUAGGUACCCAUUGGUUUUAAAAUCAACGGUACCAACGUGUAUUAAAAUAACUUGGUAUUGUACUUACUAGUACUAUUUUGAGAUUUUAUAACAGUUAAGUACAGUUGUGUGAAGUGUUUAAUAUAACAAACUUUUAGCAUAAAGUGCAUAUCUGUUCAUAAAAAAAAAAAUGUACAUUUUACGUUUACAUAACAUUAGAUAUUAAUUACGUUCACAAAGUCCAUAUUGAAUUUUAAUUUUAAAUUAAUUUAUUAAAAAAUGAAAAUUUGAAUAAUAAUUUAAUUUAUUAUUAAAAUGAAAACACGAAAAUAACGUUAACAGCUAUAACCAGCACGUCCAAAAGUUGAAUUUAUUUAGCUCUGCGGUAUCCGCGGUAACGUUUUCGUAGACACGAUCAAAAUGUGUCUACCGUGAUGAUAUGAGCCAACCAGAAAAGAGUAUUUAACACGAAACGACACCGAGAGUUGAGGACUCCCCUUAUAACUCACGG
Cinara cedri is the source of this 1018-nucleotide non-coding RNA. NCBI's taxonomy places the organism in Eukaryota, Metazoa, Arthropoda, Insecta, Hemiptera, Aphididae. The record is from the annotation of a GenBank genome assembly.